AACGAACGCUGGCGGCAGGCUUAACACAUGCAAGUCGAACGCCCCGCAAGGGGAGUGGCAGACGGGUGAGUAACACGUGGGAACAUGCCCAAAGGUACGGAACAACUCCGGGAAACUGGAGCUAAUACCGGAUGUGCCCGAAAGGGGAAAGAUUUAUCGCCUUUGGAUUGGCCCGCGUCGGAUUAGCUAGUUGGUGGGGUAAAAGCCUACCAAGGCGACGGUCCGUAGCUGGUUUGAGAGAACGACCAGCAACACUGGGACAGAGACACGGCCCAGACUCCUACGGGAGGCAGCAGUGGGGAAUCUUGGACAAUGGGCGCAAGCCUGAUCCAGCCAUGCCGCGUGGAUGAUGAAGGCCUUAGGGUUGUAAAAUCCUUUCGUUGGGGACGAUAAUGACGGUACCCAAAGAAGAAGCCCCGGCUAACUUCGUGCCAGCAGCCGCCGUAA
RNAcentral lists this ribosomal RNA (447 nucleotides) under uncultured bacterium. Its description in RNAcentral is "partial 16S ribosomal RNA". It matches the Rfam family "Bacterial small subunit ribosomal RNA", at positions 29 to 523 of the family's 1533-position model. The record is from RNAcentral.